This 103-nucleotide small nuclear RNA is filed under the name Vulpes vulpes (red fox). Lineage: Eukaryota; Metazoa; Chordata; Mammalia; Carnivora; Canidae. The record is from RNAcentral.
GUGCUCGUUUCAGCAACACAUAUACUAAAAUUGGAACUAUGCAGAGAUUAUCAUAGCCCCUGCCAAAAGGCGACACAUGCACAUAGAUUCUUGAAGCAUUCUG